This 498-nucleotide ribosomal RNA is filed under the name uncultured bacterium. RNAcentral's name for it is "partial 16S ribosomal RNA". It matches the Rfam family "Bacterial small subunit ribosomal RNA", at positions 30 to 523 of the family's 1533-position model. The record is from RNAcentral.
AUUGAACGCUGGCGGCAUGCCUUACACAUGCAAGUCGAACGGUAACAGGUCUUCGGAUGCUGACGAGUGGCGAACGGGUGAGCAAUACAUCGGAACGUGCCCGAUCGUGGGGGAUAACGAAGCGAAAGCUUUGCUAAUACCGCAUAAGAUCUACGGAUGAAAGCAGGGGACCGCAAGGCCUUGUGCGAACGGAGCGGCCGAUGGCAGAUUAGGUAGUUGGUGGGAUAAAAGCUUACCAAGCCGACGAUCUGUAGCUGGUCUGAGAGGACGACCAGCCACACUGGGACUGAGACACGGCCCAGACUCCUACGGGAGGCAGCAGUGGGGAAUUUUGGACAAUGGGCGAAAGCCUGAUCCAGCCAUGCCGCGUGCAGGAUGAAGGCCUUCGGGUUGUAAACUGCUUUUGUACGGAACGAAAAGACUCUUUCUAAUAAAGAGGGUCCAUGACGGUACCGUAAGAAUAAGCACCGGCUAACUACGUGCCAGCCGCCGCCGUAA